Molecule: ribosomal RNA, 3087 nt
Filed under: Salmonella enterica subsp. enterica
Lineage: Bacteria; Pseudomonadati; Pseudomonadota; Gammaproteobacteria; Enterobacterales; Enterobacteriaceae
Description: bacterial LSU rRNA
Rfam family: Bacterial large subunit ribosomal RNA
Source: RNAcentral
UUAAGCGACUAAGCGUACACGGUGGAUGCCCUGGCAGUCAGAGGCGAUGAAGGGCGUGCUAAUCUGCGAUAAGCGCCGGUAAGGUGAUAUGAACCGUUAUAACCGGCGAUACCCGAAUGGGGAAACCCAGUGUGACUCGUCACACUAUCAUUAACUGAAUCCAUAGGUUAAUGAGGCGAACCGGGGGAACUGAAACAUCUAAGUACCCCGAGGAAAAGAAAUCAACCGAGAUUCCCCCAGUAGCGGCGAGCGAACGGGGAGGAGCCCAGAGCCUGAAUCAGCAUGUGUGUUAGUGGAAGCGUCUGGAAAGGCGCGCGAUACAGGGUGACAGCCCCGUACACAAAAGCGCAUGUGCUGUGAGUUCGAUGAGUAGGGCGGGACACGUGGUAUCCUGUCUGAAUAUGGGGGGACCAUCCUCCAAGGCUAAAUACUCCUGACUGACCGAUAGUGAACCAGUACCGUGAGGGAAAGGCGAAAAGAACCCCGGCGAGGGGAGUGAAAAAGAACCUGAAACCGUGUACGUACAAGCAGUGGGAGCCCCACCACUAAGCCAGUGGUGAACUCCACAUACGCAUCCUUUGCUGAGGAUACGGUUAACGGAGCGAAAGCGACGUUCAACCGCAAAAGAAGCAGAGGGGGCUUAGUGGUGGGGUGACUGCGUACCUUUUGUAUAAUGGGUCAGCGACUUAUAUUCUGUAGCAAGGUUAACCGAAUAGGGGAGCCGGAGGGAAACCGAGUCUUAACCGGGCGUUAAGUUGCAGGGUAUAGACCCGAAACCCGGUGAUCUAGCCAUGGGCAGGUUGAAGGUUGGGUAACACUAACUGGAGGACCGAACCGACUAAUGUUGAAAAAUUAGCGGAUGACCUGUGGCUGGGGGUGAAAGGCCAAUCAAACCGGGAGAUAGCUGGUUCUCCCCGAAAGCUAUUUAGGUAGCGCCUCGUGAAUUCAUCUCCGGGGGUAGAGCACUGUUUCGGCUAGGGGGCCAUCCCGGCUUACCAACCCGAUGCAAACUGCGAAUACCGGAGAAUGUUAUCACGGGAGACACACGGCGGGUGCUAACGUCCGUCGUGAAGAGGGAAACAACCCAGACCGCCAGCUAAGGUCCCAAAGUCAUGGUUAAGUGGGAAACGAUGUGGGAAGGCCCAGACAGCCAGGAUGUUGGCUUAGAAGCAGCCAUCAUUUAAAGAAAGCGUAAUAGCUCACUGGUCGAGUCGGCCUGCGCGGAAGAUGUAACGGGGCUAAACCAUGCACCGAAGCUGCGGCAGCGAACGUAUCACUUAAAGCGAUUCAGCGGGUUACGAUUGACGGAGCGAAGCGACGUCAAAGCGUAUACAAAGUCGAGUCGGUUUAAGGAUACGUUCGUUGGGUAGGGGAGCGUUCUGUAAGCCUGCGAAGGUGGCCUGUGAGGGUUGCUGGAGGUAUCAGAAGUGCGAAUGCUGACAUAAGUAACGAUAAAGCGGGUGAAAAGCCCGCUCGCCGGAAGACCAAGGGUUCCUGUCCAACGUUAAUCGGGGCAGGGUGAGUCGACCCCUAAGGCGAGGCCGAAAGGCGUAGUCGAUGGGAAACGGGUUAAUAUUCCCGUACUUGGUGUUACUGCGAAGGGGGGGACGGAGAAGGCUAUGUUGGCCGGGCGACGGUUGUCCCGGUUUAAGCGUGUAGGUGUGUGUUCCAGGUAAAUCCGGUUCACUUUAACACUGAGGCGUGAUGACGAGGCACUACGGUGCUGAAGCAACAAAUGCCCUGCUUCCAGGAAAAGCCUCUAAGCAUCAGGUAACAUCAAAUCGUACCCCAAACCGACACAGGUGGUCAGGUAGAGAAUACCAAGGCGCUUGAGAGAACUCGGGUGAAGGAACUAGGCAAAAUGGUGCCGUAACUUCGGGAGAAGGCACGCUGACACGUAGGUGAAGUGAUUUACUCAUGGAGCUGAAGUCAGUCGAAGAUACCAGCUGGCUGCAACUGUUUAUUAAAAACACAGCACUGUGCAAACACGAAAGUGGACGUAUACGGUGUGACGCCUGCCCGGUGCCGGAAGGUUAAUUGAUGGGGUCAGCGCAAGCGAAGCUCCUGAUCGAAGCCCCGGUAAACGGCGGCCGUAACUAUAACGGUCCUAAGGUAGCGAAAUUCCUUGUCGGGUAAGUUCCGACCUGCACGAAUGGCGUAAUGAUGGCCAGGCUGUCUCCACCCGAGACUCAGUGAAAUUGAACUCGCUGUGAAGAUGCAGUGUACCCGCGGCAAGACGGAAAGACCCCGUGAACCUUUACUAUAGCUUGACACUGAACAUUGAGCCUUGAUGUGUAGGAUAGGUGGGAGGCUUUGAAGUGUGGACGCCAGUCUGCAUGGAGCCGACCUUGAAAUACCACCCUUUAAUGUUUGAUGUUCUAACGUGGACCCGUAAUCCGGGUUGCGGACAGUGUCUGGUGGGUAGUUUGACUGGGGCGGUCUCCUCCUAAAGAGUAACGGAGGAGCACGAAGGUUGGCUAAUCCUGGUCGGACAUCAGGAGGUUAGUGCAAUGGCAUAAGCCAGCUUGACUGCGAGCGUGACGGCGCGAGCAGGUGCGAAAGCAGGUCAUAGUGAUCCGGUGGUUCUGAAUGGAAGGGCCAUCGCUCAACGGAUAAAAGGUACUCCGGGGAUAACAGGCUGAUACCGCCCAAGAGUUCAUAUCGACGGCGGUGUUUGGCACCUCGAUGUCGGCUCAUCACAUCCUGGGGCUGAAGUAGGUCCCAAGGGUAUGGCUGUUCGCCAUUUAAAGUGGUACGCGAGCUGGGUUUAGAACGUCGUGAGACAGUUCGGUCCCUAUCUGCCGUGGGCGCUGGAGAACUGAGGGGGGCUGCUCCUAGUACGAGAGGACCGGAGUGGACGCAUCACUGGUGUUCGGGUUGUCAUGCCAAUGGCACUGCCCGGUAGCUAAAUGCGGAAGAGAUAAGUGCUGAAAGCAUCUAAGCACGAAACUUGCCCCGAGAUGAGUUCUCCCUGAGACUUAGAGUCUCCUGAAGGAACGUUGAAGACGACGACGUUGAUAGGCCGGGUGUGUAAGCGCAGCGAUGCGUUGAGCUAACCGGUACUAAUGAACCGUGAGGCUUAACCUU